GAUGAACGCUGGCGGCGUGCCUAAUACAUGCAAGUCGAACGCAUAGCGAAAGGUGCUUGCACCUUUCAAGUGAGUGGCGAACGGGUGAGUAACACGUGGACAACCUGCCUCAAGGCUGGGGAUAACAUUUGGAAACAGAUGCUAAUACCGAAUAAAACUUAGUGUCGCAUGACACAAAGUUAAAAGGCGCUUCGGCGUCACCUAGAGAUGGAUCCGCGGUGCAUUAGUUAGUUGGUGGGGUAAAGGCCUACCAAGACAAUGAUGCAUAGCCGAGUUGAGAGACUGAUCGGCCACAUUGGGACUGAGACACGGCCCAAACUCCUACGGGAGGCUGCAGUAGGGAAUCUUCCACAAGGGGCGAAAGCCUGAUGGAGCAACGCCGCGUGUGUGAUGAAGGCUUUCGGGUCGUAAAGCACUGUUGUAUGGGAAGAACAGCUAGAAUAGGAAAUGAUUUUAGUUUGACGGUACCAUACCAGAAAGGGACGGCUAAAUACGUG
RNAcentral lists this ribosomal RNA (497 nucleotides) under uncultured bacterium. RNAcentral's name for it is "partial 16S ribosomal RNA". It matches the Rfam family "Bacterial small subunit ribosomal RNA", at positions 28 to 507 of the family's 1533-position model. The record is from RNAcentral.